RNAcentral lists this ribosomal RNA (482 nucleotides) under uncultured bacterium. RNAcentral describes it as "partial 16S ribosomal RNA". It matches the Rfam family "Bacterial small subunit ribosomal RNA", at positions 30 to 507 of the family's 1533-position model. The record is from RNAcentral.
AUUGAACGCUGGCGGCAUGCCUGACACAUGCAAGUCGAACGGUAGCAGGUCUUCUGAUGCUGACUAGUGCCGAACGCGGGAGUAUUACAUCUAAACGUCCGCCUGCUAGUGGGGGAACACGUCCGGAACUGUGCUAUUAUACCACACGAGCUACGGAUGAGAACGGGGGGGCUUCUCGCCUCUCACGCUCUGAGCUGCGGAUGGCAGAUUAGGUAGUUGGUGGGAUAAAAGCGUACCAAGCCGACGAUCUGUAUCUGGUCUGAGAGGAUGAUCAGUCACACUGGAACUGAGACACGGCCCAGACUCCUACGGGAGGCAGCAGUGGGAAAUUUUGGACAAUGGGCGAAAGCCUGAUCCAGCCAUGCCGCGUGUAGGAUGAAGGUCUUCGGAUUGUAAACUGCUUUUGGAUGGAACGAAAAGCAUCUUUUUAAUAACGAGAGGUUAUGACGGUACCGUCAGAAUAAGCACCGGCUAACUACGUG